RNAcentral lists this ribosomal RNA (492 nucleotides) under uncultured bacterium. Its description in RNAcentral is "partial 16S ribosomal RNA". It matches the Rfam family "Bacterial small subunit ribosomal RNA", at positions 29 to 507 of the family's 1533-position model. The record is from RNAcentral.
AGUGAACGCUGGCGGUAGGCCUAACACAUGCAAGUCGAACGGCAGCACAGUAAGAUCUUGCUCUUACGGGUGGCGAGUGGCGGACGGGUGAGGAAUACAUCGGAAUCUACUUUUUCGUGGGGGAUAACGUAGGGAAACUUACGCUAAUACCGCAUACGACCUACGGGUGAAAGCAGGGGAUCUUCGGACCUUGCGCGAUUGAAUGAGCCGAUGUCGGAUUAGCUAGUUGGCGGGGUAAAGGCCCACCAAGGCGACGAUCCGUAGCUGGUCUGAGAGGAUGAUCAGCCGCACUGGAACUGGGACACGGUCCAGACGCCUAAGGGAGGGAGCAGUGGGGAAUAUUGGACAAUGGGCGCAAGCCUGAUACAGCCAUACCGCGUGGGUGAAGAAGGCCUUCAGGUUGUAAAGCCCUUUUGUUGGGAAAGAAAAGCAGCAGGUUAAUACCCCGCUGUUCUGACGGUACCCAAAGAAUAAGCACCGGCUAACUUCGUG